AGUGAUGAUCAUAUUUGUAUUUUUGUGUAAAAAUAAUAAGCCCGAUCGAAGAUCGAUAUAUACCUUCCAAAUUAUAUAUAAGACGCAUAACAAAUUUCCGACCGUAACUGAACCAGACUUGAACAAAUCCUAAAUACUUAGAGGGCACAGUUAAACGAAAAAAGUUUGAUACAAAUAAAAAUUUAGAACAUAUAUGGUUCAAUUUCAACACCCAACUACAUAAACAUACUGAAUAUUUGCAUACUGUAAUUUGUAUGACAUAUCAAUGUCCUCAUUACGAGUACGUAACAGUCCAUCAUGAUACUUGAGAGAUUGCUUUCCUAUGGGUCUGUUUGUCUAUGUAUAGUUGCAAGCCUUCAAAUUUUACUCCUCCCCACCCCCCAACUCCACAUGCGUUGCGAGUUAUAAGCCUACUUCCAUCAUGCAUUAGCUAUCAUAAGUAGAUUUAAACCACUUUUUUCAAAUCAUUUAAACCACUUUUUUCAAAUCAUUGAUUUUACCUUUUAAUUUACUUUUUAGUAUGCAUAGUUGCAUACAAAUAGACAAAACGAAGUUUCUUUCCUUUUUUAUCAUUAAAUUGACCUUGAGUGGAGAUAAACAACAAAGCUAGGGUGAUUCAGUUUUGAAUCUCCAAUAACAAUUGGGAUUGCAGAUUCAGUUUUCAAUCUCUAAUAACAAUUCAGUUUCUUUCAACCUUCCUUUUUUAUGUGAUUCAGUUUUCCAUCUCUAAUAACAAUUGGAACUGCAAAUCUGAUUUGUUUCCUAACUACAUUUGGUUUUUGGAUCGGUUAUAAUUCACAAAGUUAUAAAUUAUAAUACGGUGGCAAAACUAAAUGUUGUGAACCAAUGAACUAUACUUUUGGAUUUGUUGAGUGGGGGAAAAAGAGAUAACAUAAAUAAAUAUAUGCAACUAUUUAUUAAGCCCGACAAUUAGGAGAAAUGUGGCUAAAAAGAAAAUAACUUUAUAAUAUAUAUGUAUAUAUUACAAAUACACACUUAAUAAUGUCUGGCAGAAGAAAACGACUUUAUGUAAUGUGAUGCACACACAAGUUGGAAAUUUUCUUAUUAAAUAUAGACUGAUAUGGGACAUAAUGCAUAACAGUUAGUUAACACAAAUGAACAUGAUUCAUAUGUUUAUAUUUCUUCAAAAGAAGAACCAGUAUCCAAGCCAAAGUUAGAAUUUUCUCUUUUUUAUAUAUUCAGUCUUCUCCUUUACAAAUUAAUUAAUUAUGAUUGGAUGUGUAUGUGGUGUGAGAUUAGGUUUGAAAAAUCUCAUGAUGUUCCAAUAAUUCAUAAUCUAGAAGAGUAUGUGUUGCGAGAUUAUUAAGUUUGAAAACCACAAGGUAAUCUAAUGAAGUUCUAUAAUAAUCCACAGCCCAUAAGUGUUGACUGAAAACAAUUAAUCUCAAAGAAGCAGCUUAAUUUCCAUUGACCUGACCUCAAGGGUGUUCCUAGCUAGAGGAUAUACGAUUCUUCAAUCUUAAAAAAAAUGUAACAUAUGUAAACGUAAUUGCUUAGAAAUGUUUUCUUGAUCAAAAUUUUGAUGCAUCAACAAGAAAAUUAUGUUAGAAACUGACUUACCAAUUUGAUUUCAUUCUUUAAUCUUGCAAGAGAUUUAUGUACUUUAGUCUUCGUAUAAUCUCAUCUUGUAAUUUGUAAAUGGUGGGCUCAUUCAGAAGACCAAAUCCAGUAACAAUAGCUUCAUUUUCCCCCAAAAACUUAAAUAAAAUGGACUUUUUCUCUCUCGAAGGAACUCAUACCAAAUUUCUGCAAGCAACCAAAAAUAAAACAAGAAUCAAAAGAACAAUGUAUUAGACACAAAAUCUUCCACAUCGAGUAUUGGAAGAGAUCAUUCUUAAUAUAUAAGAUAGAUGAGUCACUCUUUUUAUUAACCAAUUGGUUUUAGGUUGGAAGCACAUCUAGCUUAACAUUGUAUCAGAGUCUGAUCCACUAAUCCAACCCGAUCCACAUCGAUCUGGCCUAAAGUUGGCCCAUCGAUCCUUGUCCGGACAUUCAGAGAUUGACGCUCAAAGAGCCAUCAUCUCGAGGGGGUGUAUUAGAUACAAAGUGUCCCACAUCGAGUAUUGGAAGAAAUCAUUUUUAAUAUAUAAGAUAGAUGAGUCACUCUUCUUAUUAACCAAUUGGUUUUAGGAUGGUAGCCUAUCUAACGCAAUGCACCAAGACCAAACUCAGAUGCAUAAAAUUUGCAAGGAGAGAGAAUAUAUCGAGGAAACUGGGCUAGUUGUAGGCCCAUAACGAAACUCCAUGGUUAUAGACUUAUUUGGGCCCAUGUUUCAGGCCAUUAAAAUUUGGUUAACCCUAAUAAAAACCCUAACUUUUACUUAUUUAUAUUGCUCCACAUGAGGUCCUAUCAGUCUCGACGACUCUGUUUCAGUCUCCAUUGUGUUCUUACGUUUUAUGUGUUUCUGGAAAAAUAAAAGUUUCGAUUUUAAUGUGUUGUGUUUUUGAUGGAGAAUUCAAAAAGAGGAGAAAGAGAGAGAUAUGAUGAUUGAACUUUUCUGGUUCCCUAUUGGUUUGAUUAGCCGAGAUGAUGGCAUCUAACGAGCAGGGUCAGUCAAAUCGUCUGCAGGUAAAUAAACUGCUUGAAUAGAGGUUAUGGACCCUUUUUUCGUAGAAGUACAACACUAUCCUCCAUUUAGAGGAUGCGAGCUGUGUUUUGCUGCCCUUCUUGUCCGAGCGAAUCUUAAUUUGUCAAUCGAAACAGAGAAAGACAGAGACAGAGAACAACAUGAGAUGAGUUUAAUAUUAAAUCGUUGUAAAGUUGGGAAGUAAAUCAUCCUUGUAAUUAGAUUUGGUCACAUAUUUGUAAGCUUCACUGUUUGAGUUUCAUUCAAACAGCAUCCUCGAAACCAAGCCUAUCACUGUCGGAAA
Molecule: long non-coding RNA, 2892 nt
Organism: Brassica napus (rape)
Lineage: Eukaryota; Viridiplantae; Streptophyta; Magnoliopsida; Brassicales; Brassicaceae
Exons: 2
Source: RefSeq, a predicted model, not a curated record